This 461-nucleotide ribosomal RNA is filed under the name uncultured bacterium. RNAcentral's name for it is "partial 16S ribosomal RNA". It matches the Rfam family "Bacterial small subunit ribosomal RNA", at positions 338 to 795 of the family's 1533-position model. The record is from RNAcentral.
CCUACGGGUGUGCAGCAGUGAGGAAUAUUGGUCAAUGGGCGCUAGCCUGAACCAGCCAAGUAGCGUGAAGGAUGACUGCCCUACGGGUUGUAAACUUCUUUUAUAAAGGAUUAAAGUGAGGCACGUGUGCCUUUUUGUAUUUACUUUAUGAUUAGGGUUCGGCUAACUCGGUGCCAGCAGCCGCGUUAAUACGGAGGAUACGAGCGUUAUCCGGAUUUAUUGGGUUUAAAGGGAGAGUAGAUGGGUUGUUAAGUCAGUUGUGAAAGUUUGCGGCUCAACCGUAAAAUUGCAAUUGAUACUGGCAGCAUUGAGGACAGUUGAGGUAGGCGGAAUUCGUGGUGUAGCGGUGAAAUGCUUAGAUAUCACGAAGAACUCCGAUUGCGAAGGCAGCUUACUAAACUGCCACUGACAUUGAUGCUCGAAAGUGUGGGUAUCAAACAGGAUUAGAUACCCGGGUAGUC